RNAcentral lists this transfer RNA (65 nucleotides) under Paraahimia luodianensis. Its description in RNAcentral is "tRNA-Tyr". Lineage: Eukaryota; Metazoa; Arthropoda; Insecta; Hemiptera; Cicadellidae. The record is from RNAcentral.
GUUGAAGAGUCUGAAGACUAGGUGGUAAAUUGUAAAUUUAUUUAUGGAUUAUUUUCCCUUCAAUA